Choloepus didactylus (southern two-toed sloth) is the source of this 368-nucleotide long non-coding RNA. RefSeq lists it as uncharacterized. The transcript has 3 exons. NCBI's taxonomy places the organism in Eukaryota, Metazoa, Chordata, Mammalia, Pilosa, Megalonychidae. The record is from RefSeq and is a predicted model, not a curated record.
GCGCGGAGCUGUUCGCCGCUCCAGGUGCUGAGUCUGAGGGAGCCGCCGGACGCGAGAGCCGCGGUCGCCGCCGCCGCAGCCUCCUCGAGAGCCGCCGCAGGGAAGCCGGGGCCGUGAGGAGCCCGGAGUUGCUGGGCGCGCUUCCCGGCGCUGACCGCCCUCCUGCCCGCCGUCUGAGCUCCGGACUCCACGGGGACGCCCUCUCGUCAGAGGAAAGGACGGGAAGGUCGGAGCCGGUCCACCUCAGGUUCUCCAGCAUGGCCCACUGAGGUCAACCAUGACCGGCUGGCCACUGCCUGCCACUGAGCACCCAGGCUUGCAUCUCUGCAGGAGGUGACACUCCCCCGGCCGCCCUCCCCCGCCCCCGC